RNAcentral lists this ribosomal RNA (467 nucleotides) under uncultured bacterium. RNAcentral's name for it is "partial 16S ribosomal RNA". It matches the Rfam family "Bacterial small subunit ribosomal RNA", at positions 28 to 507 of the family's 1533-position model. The record is from RNAcentral.
GACGAACGCUGGCGGCGUGCUUAACACAUGCAAGUCGAACGGAAAGGCCUCUUUCGGGGGGUACUCGAGUGGCGAACGGGUGAGUAACACGUGAGUAACCUGCCCUUAACUUUGGGAUAACUUCCGGAAACUGGGGCUAAUACCGGAUAGGAGCUCCUGCUGCAUGGUGGGGGUUGGAAAGUUUCGGCUGUUGGGGCUGGGCUCGCGGCUUAUCAGCUUGGUGGUGGGGUAGUGGCUUACCAGGGCUUUGACGGGUAGCCGGACUGAGAGGGUGACAGGCCACACUGGGACUGAGAUGCGGCACAGACGCCGACGGGAGGAAGAAGGGGGGAAUAUUGAACAAUGGGUGGCGGCCGGAUGCAGAAACGCCGCGGGCGGGAAGACGGUCUUGGGGUUGUAAAACGCUUUCGCUCAUGACGAAGCUUUGUGUGACGGUAGUGGGUAAAGAAGCACCGGCUAACUACGUG